GAAGAGGACCCUGGGAAGGUGGCUCCCGCCUCACUCCUAGAGUGAAAUCCUCGCAGCCCUGCCCUCGCGGGCGGAGCAGAGACGCCGCCGCUUGGCCGGUUCACGCCUGUCACACAAAGCCGCCGAGGGUCGGCUGCGCCCCUGGCAAGGCUGUAGGGCUGGGGAUACUGAGUAUGACAGGCGAGGUCCCUGCUCUCAAGAACUUACAUGGGAGAGAAGGGGAGACGAGAUAAACAGAUGGAGCAAUUCAACCCAAAAAGGUUGGUCUGUAUGGUGACGGAAUGUGGUCUCCCAGUUUUCAGCACAGCACUCAUCCAGCUAUUCUGCUCUUCAGAAAGCAGGAGGGAUGUGCCCUAAGGUGGACUAUUGAAAUGAUGAAAGCCACUGAGGAAGAGCCAGAGAAUUCUCAUAGCUGUGAUUAGACAUCAACCUUGGGCAUGCUAAACAUUUCAGCCUGGACACCCUGAGAAGAGCCAGUGCCAUUGGUGACAGCUGCUUCUGUGCGGGCUUUUGCUUGGCCAGAGAGGCAGGACCUUCUCCCUGGCAUUUUGAGGAGUGGUGCCGGGUGGGCAGUGACUGCACUAGCAACAGUCUAUACCAAGAGAAGACCUCAAAUUCCCAGAGAAGAAAGGCAGCGAGGCCAAGAAAUGCUGCUGCCGCUUAACAAGUGAAGGUGCAUACUGGAGAAUAGGAACUGAACACGCGAAGGAGUUUGGGCUUUACUGCCUUCUCUCCUAGCAUUGAACAGAUCUUCUCUGCUGUUGAUUAUUCUCCAUGAAUCAUCAUCCAUAGAAAGUGACUGAGGCAAUAGAGAGUGAAUAAUGAAUCCCUCAAAUAGUCUUUUGUGUUUCUGCCUGGAGGGUUUUGGAAAUAACUUGCAUCUUAAUCUUUCUGACUUAGAAUCAUAGAAUUUGGGAGCUGAAAAGGACCUUCAUCAGGGCAUGUGGCCUCACAGAAAGACUGGAAGAAAAGAUCUGUGGGUAUGAGCCUCUGGUUCAUCACUAAAAAUAGGCCUAGUCUAACAUAUAUUGGAGGCUUUCCUUGUGUCAGGUACUCAUUUAUUCUUCCAAAACCUUGGGAGGUAGGUGCUGCUAUUCCUCCGUUCUGCAGAGGAGGAAGAGAUGAGGAGACAAUAGAUCACCAGAGGGCAGUGUGAGGGGUGUGCUGGAACCAUCAUGUGGAACUGGCUCUGGUUCCAGAAUCCAUAUCCUCUCGGUCAUUCCACUCCCACAUCAAGUGGCUUUGGACAAGUAAUUUAACUUCUUUGGAUCUCAGUUUUCUCCUCCGUGAUCUCUAAAGUUUAAAAAUUACUAACAGUCUGCAUCUGCCACCCAAGCAUGUGAUUUUACAACUCAGAAAAGUGUAGCACAGAAAUGUUAAGUGACUUGCCCUAGGUCACCCAGGUUGCUAAGGGCAGAAUCAGCACAGAAACCCAGGCCCAGUGACCACUGCCCCCAGGCAAGACCUCCUUCCCUUCCACUGCACUUUGGCAGGUGUUCUAGGGGAAUCCAACUCCUUGCCUUAGAUGAGACCUGUUCAAUGAUAUCAGAUAGACUGGAGAUGUUACGUUUUGGUGUGGCCAAUCAUAACACCAGGAUGAGCUUAGGAGGCUGGUGAUAUUUGUCUAUCUAAGCACCCCCAACCUAUCUAUCUGUCUGCUGUUUGUCUAUCUUUCUCAGGUUAUGCAUAGUGAUCAAACCCCGCCUGGUAACUGUAGGGAAAGAGCAUGACUGGUGUGUUACAGCUACGCACGCCCCCUGGUGGUAUUUCCAGUUGUUUGUCCUCUUCAUGCAAAUGUUGCCACCUUGUGCCAGCUCUCUCACCUAGCUUCCUUCAUGACGACAGUGGUUGCAAUUCUGCUCCUCUCUCUGCCUUCCCCUGUCCUUGGCUCCCCAUGUCCAGAAUCUGAUCAUUUACUGGUGUGCACCCUGGGAUGUGAUGUGUGCUUUGGGAGGAGACAGGACCCAACAGUAUCUCAGCUGUGCUCUGGUAAUCAGUGUGCACCACAUUACAAGCAUCCUCAUCCCAGUAUCCUCCCUAUUGAAAAAGAGAUGGGAAAGGGGUGGAUGUGUCAAUAAACACAACAUUGAAGGCAUCUGAAAUAGAACAAGGACAUCCUGGGUGAGGCAUU
This 2131-nucleotide non-coding RNA is filed under the name Pan troglodytes (chimpanzee). Lineage: Eukaryota; Metazoa; Chordata; Mammalia; Primates; Hominidae. The record is from RNAcentral.